UAAUAAAGAAACAAAACUAAUUUAUUAAUAUUUUAUUCGCUAAUUUAUAAAAAUCAAAUUUUAUCAUUUUAAAGCAUUCAUUUGAUCAAACAAAAUAUUUUCGUCUUCCAUCGAUCUUUCAAAUUUGCAAAUCAAAAGGGCUAUACGGAUUGAUAAACCCGGCGAAGGCCGGGUAAAAGAGCCGAAGGCCCGUUAAAGGGGCGACCCCAGGCUUUAUGUAUGGACCCCCUCUAAGGAAAAUUCUUAACUACGCCACUGUCACAGACAGAUAAUUAUCAAAUAUUUUGAAGAAUCAUCUAUCACCUAAUAUGGUUAAAUGACAUGUAAAUGAUGUGAAAACCCAAUAGGAGCAAAGUUAUAAGUGUCGAUUGAUAUACUAAACAGUUCAUCACCACUAUUCUAAAGAAUAUUUACUAAAUUAGCAGCUGACUUUAAAAAGAAAAUGUUAUGGGCUAAUCCUUAUCUCAGCAUACUUAGCUUUUUCUAAAAAAAACUCGCAGUCCCGUUUAAUGGAUAGCUUCGAAAACCAAGAAAUUCUUUCCGAUAUUUAUCAAAGAUUCAAAGUGAAUGAAUACAAAACGAUUGCUGAGCUUCGACCAAUUUAUCGAUGAAGAUAUUCCUUAUUAAUAAAUUUAAAAAAUUUCUUAACUCUUGUAAAUUUGGC
Long non-coding RNA from Gordionus sp. m RMFG-2023, 664 nucleotides. RefSeq lists it as uncharacterized. The transcript is spliced from 5 exons. The record is from RefSeq and is a predicted model, not a curated record. Lineage: Eukaryota; Metazoa; Nematomorpha; Gordioida; Chordodea; Parachordodidae.